This 383-nucleotide unclassified non-coding RNA is filed under the name uncultured bacterium. Its description in RNAcentral is "contains 16S-23S intergenic spacer region". The record is from RNAcentral.
UCCGGUUUGGCACCGGCAGUCUCCGCAGAGUGCCCAGCGUAACCUGAUGGCAACAGCGGACAAGGGUUGCGCUCGUUGCGGGACUUAACCCAACAUCUCACGACACGAGCUGACGACAGCCAUGCAGCACCUGUCACCGGUCCAGCCGAACUGAAGGGAUCCAUCUCUGGUUCCCGCGACCGGGAUGUCAAGGGCUGGUAAGGUUCUUCGCGUUGCUUCGAAUUGAACCACAUGCUCCACCGCUUGUGCGGGCCCCCGUCAAUUCCUUUGAGUUUCAGUCUUGCGACCGUACUCCCCAGGCGGCGAACUUAACGCGUUAGCUUCGACACUGAGAGCCUAGUUGCUCCCAACGUCCAGUUCGCAUCGUUUAGGGCGUGGACUAC